CCUACGGGUGGCAGCAGUGGGGAAUAUUGCACAAUGGGCGCAAGCCUGAUGCAGCCAUGCCGCGUGUGUGAAGAAGGCCUUCGGGUUGUAAAGCACUUUCAGCGGGGAGGAAGGCGGUGAGGUUAAUAACCUCAUCGAUUGACGUUACCCGCAGAAGAAGCACCGGCUAACUCCGUGCCAGCAGCCGCGGUAAUACGGAGGGUGCAAGCGUUAAUCGGAAUUACUGGGCGUAAAGCGCACGCAGGCGGUCUGUCAAGUCGGAUGUGAAAUCCCCGGGCUCAACCUGGGAACUGCAUUCGAAACUGGCAGGCUAGAGUCUUGUAGAGGGGGGUAGAAUUCCAGGUGUAGCGGUGAAAUGCGUAGAGAUCUGGAGGAAUACCGGUGGCGAAGGCGGCCCCCUGGACAAAGACUGACGCUCAGGUGCGAAAGCGUGGGGAGCAAACAGGAUUAGAACCCCAGUAGUC
Molecule: ribosomal RNA, 464 nt
Filed under: uncultured Klebsiella sp.
Lineage: Bacteria; Pseudomonadati; Pseudomonadota; Gammaproteobacteria; Enterobacterales; Enterobacteriaceae
Description: bacterial SSU rRNA
Rfam family: Bacterial small subunit ribosomal RNA
Source: RNAcentral